This 253-nucleotide ribosomal RNA is filed under the name uncultured bacterium. Its description in RNAcentral is "partial 16S ribosomal RNA". It matches the Rfam family "Bacterial small subunit ribosomal RNA", at positions 524 to 776 of the family's 1533-position model. The record is from RNAcentral.
UACGUAGGGGGCUAGCGUUGUCCGGAUUUAUUGGGCGUAAAGAGCGUGUAGGCGGCCAGGUAGGUCUGCUGUGAAAACUCGAGGCUCAACCUCGAGACGUCGGCGGAAACCAUCUGGCUAGAGUCCGGAAGAGGAGAGUGGAAUUCCUGGUGUAGCGGUGAAAUGCGCAGAUAUCAGGAAGAACACCCGUGGCGAAGGGGGCUCUCUGGGACGGUACUGACGCUGAGACGCGAAAGCGUGGGGAGCGAACAGG